Syngnathus acus (greater pipefish) is the source of this 273-nucleotide long non-coding RNA. RefSeq lists it as uncharacterized. NCBI's taxonomy places the organism in Eukaryota, Metazoa, Chordata, Actinopteri, Syngnathiformes, Syngnathidae. The transcript is spliced from 3 exons. The record is from RefSeq and is a predicted model, not a curated record.
CUUCAAGGUGGAGAUCUGCAGGAUGGCAUCAGCAUCGCACGCAUGCACACCUAGCAACAACCACGAGUCGGUCGGCUGGUCUCACAUCCGCGGCUAGACUCUCUGCUUUGCCCGAGUUCUGUUCAACCAGUUCCCUCAGUCUGGAAGAGCGCCACAGUUUUCAGCAUAGAUCUGGCUGAACUCCUGGCAAACCUCCUCUCUAACACGAGCUUCCACCAGCACGCUGUCAGCUCGCUCCUGCUUCAGCGCCAUCUGAAGACGUCUCACCAGCGC